This 36337-nucleotide long non-coding RNA is filed under the name Jatropha curcas. RNAcentral describes it as "long non-coding RNA (JCUR_LNC000117)". The record is from RNAcentral. Lineage: Eukaryota; Viridiplantae; Streptophyta; Magnoliopsida; Malpighiales; Euphorbiaceae.
AUAAUCCUAGAUUUGUCUAAAAUAGAGAACUUGCACAUUAACACUGAAGUCUUCGAGAGGAUGACCAAACUUAGAUUGCUUAAGGUUUGCUAUGCUCACAAAUCUGGAGGCUUUGAAUACCUUAUCCAAAAACAGCACUGUGCUAACAUCAGUCUCUCCAAAGGCACAAAUGAAGUAAGAAUACCUUUAGACUCAAAUGUGACUCUUUCUAGGGACUUUCUUACUUUAUCGAAUGAUUUGCGAUGCCUCUAUUGGCAUGGAUAUCCCAUUGAAACUUUGCCACCUCAUUUUUAUCCACAAAACCUUGUUGAACUUAACAUGUCAUACAGCAACAUGACAGAGUUUUGGACGAAGAGGAAGGUAUAUUUAUUAGCUCACUAUUUUAUUUCUCAUCUAUAUGAUAUUAAAUUCACGGCUAAAUGAUUUGAAUUUUUAUUUUGACAGAAAUUUGAUAAAUUGAAGUUCAUCAAACUAAGUCAUUCCCAGAAACUCAUUAGGACACCGGAUUUCACAGGGAUGCCAAACCUUGAGAUAAUAAUUCUUCAAGGCUGCACAGAAUUAACUGAGGUUCACUCCUCUCUGAGUUCUCUUAGAAGCCUCAAAUUAUUAAAUCUGAAAGACUGCUCAAAUCUUCAAAAUUUUCCUAGUGAAAUUCAUACAUCUUCUCUUGAGAUCCUCAUACUGUCUGGAUGCUCAAAGCUUCAGACAUUUCCUGUGAUCAAGGGUGAUAUGGACCGCUUGUCAGAGCUUUAUCUAGAUGACACUGCUAUACAAGCACUACCUCCAUCUAUUGAAAAGCUUACGGGCCUUGUUCUUUUGAGUGCCAGGAAUUGUGCACAUCUAAAACACCUUCCUUGCAACUUUGGUAAUGUUUUAAAGCAGCUGAGAACUAUUUACUUUUCUGGCUGCUCUCAUCUUAAGCAAUUGCUAGAGAAGUUGGAGAAGUUGGAAAGUUUGGAAGAACUUGAUGUAGGUGGAACGACAAUAACACAUCCACCGCUCUCCAUAUGCUCUUUGGUGAAGCUUAAAGUGCUGUCCUUCCACAGAUGUGAAGGAUUUCCAUUUGUAAACAUCAGAGGAACCAUGCAGGAAGAAUUAGACAGGAACAAUAUCAGAAAAUGUUUUUUUAGAAGUUUAUCCUAUUUAACAAGUCUAGAUUUAAGCUACUGCAAUUUGGAUGAUGUGUCAAUCCCUACGGAAUUGGGAAUGUUAUACUCUUUGAAGAAAUUAAAUCUGAGCGGAAACAACUUUUCCAGGUUACCUCCUGAAACCAUUGCCAAUUAUCUCGAAGUUAUUUGUUUGGCAGACUGCAAUGGUCUUUCCUCGUUGCCACCUCUCCCAUGCAACAUAUAUUGGAUAGAAGCACCGAACUGCCCUGAACUAGUUAGUGUACACGUACCAAAGCUGAAUAACUUGUGCAUGAUGGGUUUCAAUUUUAUUAAUUGCUUCAGAUUGGGUAAUGGCAAUGCAACAACUAUAGCAGUUGAGCUACUGAGACAACUUAUUCGUAAGGUCUCUCCAUCUCUCAAGACCUUUAUUAUUUUUUUUUUCAGGUUAAUAAGCUCCUAACUCUUGCCUUUCAUAGUAUUGGAUCUCUGUCUAACACACAAUCAUGAUUUUUCAUGAUACAGGUACCAUCUCAUUUUUUUGCUGAAUUUACUAUUAUUGUUCCUGGAAAUCGAAUUCCAGUAUGGUCCGAUUUCGAGUCCAGGGGUUCUUCAGUGCGAAUAAGUGUGCCUGGGGAUUUCUACUGGAACUAUUUCAGGGGGUUUGCUUUUUGGGCCGUUCUUGAAGUCAAUUAUGACCAUGACUCUCUAGCAAUCUCCAACAACGAUCCAACCAUGCAAAUGCAAUUCUGCCUUGAAUUUUAUUUGAUGCACAAAAACAAGAAGUUGAUUUCCGAUACUGGCAUUGUUCUCAAUAGAAGUUACGAGAUUAAAGGGGAUCAUGAGUGGUUGCGUCUUAUCCCAUCUUGUACACUCAAGUUGAUAAGGGGCUCCUCAACUCAGCUCAAAGCUGUUAUUCUCACUCAUGGCAAUGUCUUGCGGGUGAAAAAUUGCGGCCUAUUCCCGAUGUUUGAUGACUGCAAGCCUGCGAAGAUGCUUAUAGAAGGAAGAUCACAGAAGGACGAACUUAAUCAUCAAAGAAAUUCUGGACUUCAUCGUAGACAAUUUCUUCGAAGAUCACGCAACUACGAACUUAAUCGUAAAAGAUGGUUGAGACUUUAUCGUAACAGAUUUCUUCCAAGAUCACGCAACUACGAACUUAAUCAUAAAAGACGUUUUGGACUUUAUCGUAACAGAUUCGUUCCAAGAUUUGAUUUGAAUACAUUGGAAACCGGAUUUGAUUUGGAUGCAUUGGAAACCGGGCCAGACGCAUUUCUUCAAAGAUUUGAUAUGGAUACCCGGCCUGACGUGCGGAAAAGGAUAAAAAUCGGGUUGGAUAGUAAAAACGAGUAAAAUCGCCAAAACUGGGUUUUUGAUUUCUCAGCUUUAAAAGCAGCAAUCUCCUCUCCAGCAAGAACCGGUAAUGCCUUUUUCGGCUCCUCUGGCUCUAGAGCCGGUGCCUCUGAUUUUUGUUUCUCGGUAAGAUGCUUUUCCACGCUUAGAGAUACACAAAUUUAUUCUCAAAUGAAAUGAGCACCGUUAUUUUGCCGGUUUAUAAUUUAUAAUUUAUAAAUAAUUUAUAUUUUUAAUAUAUAAAUUAUAUUUAGUAUAUAUUAUAAGAUUCAUCUUCUCCGUGAAUUGUUUUAUUAAAAUUUUAUGCUAUAUAGAAAUUAUAAUAUCGUUAAUUUAUUUAAAAUAAUUAUAAAUUUCAAUUAGUCUAGCAAAGUUUUAGUUAGAGUUUAUUAUACAAACAAUAUUUUUUUUUAUCCUAGAUAAUUCUUUAUAAAAUAUAAAGUUCUAAAAUUCAAAUAAUUCAAUGUAGAUAAUAUACAACAAAAUAAUAGAUAGAUAAAAAAAAUUUAAAUAAUUUAAUGUGGAUAAUUCUAUGUUAAAUUAAAAAUAUAAAUAAAGAAUACAGAAUCUCAGAAGAUAAAGUUAGAUAAACAAAAUUAACUAUUCACUAAAUUAAGGAGGAUAAAAAAUCAGUUAAAUUAAAUCUAAACUUACAAUUAAUUUUUAUUAUAUUGUUCAUAUAUCUAUUCCUUAGUGCGUAACCUUACCAUAUUUUGAAGCAUUUUUCCUCAAAUUGCAAUUAGAAUAGUUGAAAAAUCUGAGAUUUCUUAUUGAAGCUGUCAUAGUAAAAGUUACGGAUGGAGAGUCAUCACUAUUUUAUAUCCCAAUAACUCGAUCCUAAUAAAAAUGUUAUCUGACAUCAAUUAAUAAAUAGAGAGUGUUAGAGUAAUUGUGAUAGAUCGGGAUAAGAAAAAAAAAAUAAUGAAAAAUUGAUUUAAGAUAUGAAUAUCUUUAUAGUCCAAAUAAAAUUAAAAAAUGAACAAUAAAAAUAUAAAAAAAAAUACAUGCAAGAGCAAUACAAAAACGAUACUUGCUCGGAUCUAAGCUUCGUGUUUUUUCCAAUCUUCUUCAUUUAACAAUGAUAUUAAUGAAAAAUCAAAUAAAAAGACAAAUGAACCAAGAGAGAAUUAUAAAAGAAAUGGAAGAGAAGGAAAAAAAUUAUAUAGUAAAAAAAAAGUUAAAUAUAUAUAUUCCAAAUAAAAUUUAAAAAAAAGGAAAAAUAUAUGGAAGAGCUAAUGUUAUCUUUGACGAAGAAAAAAUUAUUUUGUUGUUCAUAAUCUGAAAAACAAAAAUAGCAAAAUUUAAUAUAAAUAUAAAGAAAUAUGAAUUAUUAAAAAAAAAAGAUAAACAAAGAAACUAAAAAAAAAAAAGUAAAAAACAAUCGUUGAAUCAAAAGAUAGAGAACCAUAGAAUUAUAUAAAUAUUUAGCUACAAUUUACAAAUUUUUAAAAAAUAGAAAAUAUUUUUAGAUUUUUAGAUGAGAUUGUUAGAAGAUAAUUAAACUAGUUAAAAGAGAUUUAGAAUUUGAUUUUUUUAAAUAAAUUAUUAGUGAUAAUAAUGGAAAUAAUAUUAUUUUUAGUUGACAAAUACCUAUAGUUUUUUUUUUUUGUUAAAAAUGAAUUAAAAGUCUAGAAAAUUUGAAAACAACGAAAAAGAGGAAUUCUGAAACCAAAAGAUGCCAAGUCAGCAUUUACAUAAAAUUUUAUGCUUCAAUGGAAAUUACUUUUGCCUAGAUCGGGUCCAUAGCUAUGCUUAUGGACCAAAUAGUAAGGAUUUUUUAAAAAAUAUUUCAAUUUUAUCUCUUUUUUCAAGUGUGUGGUCAGAAAUACCUUUGUUUUAAUAAAAAAUAUUAUUCUUAUUAGUUUGGUCCAUGAGUAGGCCAUACACCCGUAAAAUUAACCCAAUUUCAAUACAAUAAAUUUUAUUUGAACAGCAAGAAAAAAAAAAAUUAUUACUCAAGUUCCAAAUAUAUGGAUGGAUUAUUUUUCUUAAAUUUCUAUUUUCUAUUAUUAAACAAUCUAUAAAAUAGCUAAUUGGAAGAUAAUCAUUUAUACAAUAAAAAAAAAAAAGUUAAUUGAUAUGCUUAAGGUGUAAAUUAAAAAAGAAAGAGACCAAUAAAUAAAAAAAAAAAAUAAAAAGAGAAAAAAAAGACGAAGUUUAAGUAGACAAAAGAAAAAUUAUGAAGAAAAAGAUGAAUAUGGUCUGACAUUUGCUGGAAAUCAGAAACAUAAAUAUAAAAAUUAAAUAGCUAGCUAAAAGAAAUAUUUAAUUGGGAUUUUAUAUAUUUUAAAAUGAUAAAUUUUGUUAUGAUUAUUUUUUGAAAUUAUAAAAAUUUCGCAUUAGACGGUAUGAAAUAAAAAUUUUAUGUUGUUGAGUUUUAAUCAUAAAAUCAGAGAAUGAAAGAGAACAAAAAUAAAUAACACGGUCAAUUUUUUUUCUUUUAUUCUAGGGUGAGCCCACGCCUACACUAGGUAUAGUGGACCUCCGCCGCGGCCUAAAAGCAACUAAAUUGCAUUAAGGUAAGAUCAUUGCCUGUACACGUGUUUCUAUUUUGUUAUAAUACCAAAUAGGUCCAAUAUAUUAAAAAAUGCACAAACGCAUCCUUACAUCUAAAAUUACUCAAAUUUUCGUCAAAUGGCAAAUAAAAUGACCAUACUAACCUUUAUAAUAUACAAAAUUUUCUUUACAAUUAAUUACUUCUAUUCCUCCAUCUCUUUCCUUGAAUCCUUCACAGAAACAGAAAACGGUCAUCUCUCUCUUUAAUGCCGUGAUCUGCACUUUCUGAACUCUCUCAUUUUCACAAAUCUGAACCAUAAAUUAAGCAUGGAGCAAUCUAUGUGAGAGCAAGGCCUUCAAAAAUGAAAUUACGAACAAAUAAAUGAAUUUAAGCAUAGGCUAAUUUCCUUUCCCUUUCUCAUGGUAGAGAUGCCAUUAUUGCUAUUUCAUUAUUUUUUUUUCCUUUUCCUAUCACCGGCUCAUGUACGGCUAGCAGCGACCUCCUCCCUUUGCCUCCCCGCCGUUCUCUCUCUCCAUUUCUUUUCCGAUUGGAGCAAUGACAGGGUGUGAGCUGCCUUCGUUUUCCGAAUGGAGUGGCUCCACCUCAGUCUCCUUCAAUAUUUUAUUUCAAUUUUCUGGCGAGACCACGGACCGACCGGUUAGACUCUUCGACCGCUCCCUCCUCCUCUCUUGUCGAACGAAGCAGGCCAUAGGUCCAAGAGUUGAGCUAACGGGAUGGAAAAGAGACAUUUUCGCUGAUAACGUGAUUCUCCGGCCAACCUUGAUUGGUUGCUCGCCGGAAACUAAGAGGCGGCUGAGGAGACACUGGACCAAAGCUUGCGAUCUCAUACCACGUUACCCAAGAGAAAAGGAAAGUCUUUUUUGUGGUUUUGUUUCAAUUAGCUAAUUCUAGAAGGAUUUUAGUUUGGGUUAGUAAUUUUUUAUGGUUUCGGUUGAAACUGUCCAAUUAGCUAAUUCUAUAAGGGUAGAAUUGUCUUUUUGUUUGUUUUCUUUGACCUUAAUUUAUGAGGUAGACUAAUUUUGGACAGAGGGAGGUAGUUGUGCUACAGAUAAUUAAUUUAGGGAGAUGUGUUAGUUUUAAAAUAUUAUAUAAAUAUGAUUAUAAUUUAGAGAGGUAUUUUUUUUUUCUCCUUUAUCCUUUUAACCUAUGGCACAUUAUGUUUUUUUUUUUUUCUUUUGCAUUUUUUUUUUCUUCUUCUUCUUUAUGGCGGGCAUGAAAUCUGCCUCCGGCGUCAGGAUGGGCAUAAGAGUUGUUGUUGAUAGCUUCACCGGAUUUGAUUCCAUUGCUGUUUCUGUGUUUUGUUUCUGUUCUUCUUCUUCUUAUUAUUAUCUCGAUUUAAAUUCUAUUUUCAUUUUUGUUCUUCUUCUUCUUUUCUUAUUAUCUAGAUUUGAUUUCAACUACCAUAUAAUUGUCACAAUUAUGAAUAUUUUUGGACCAAAUUUUAAGCACAUACCUUCAAAUCAGUUUGUAUAUUCAAUAAUGUCAUUCCUAAAGUACUUAUCAGCAGUCAUAAAACUUAUUUGAUAAAGAAAGAAAACCCUAAUUGAAAUAACCUGAUGAAUACAUAAAGUAAGAUUAAAUAAUACUUCUUCUGUCUUAUAUUUUCUAUCCUGAUUUCUUUUCUCAUUUAUUCUAAAUUAAUAUUCUAUAUUCUUUUUUAGAAGAAGAUAAUUUUUAAAUUUUUUAUUUUAUUCCUAUUUCAAAAACUAUUGUCUCAAAUGCAUUUUUAAUACCGUGAAAGUCAAACCAGAACAUUGUACGACCUAAGGAGUACUUAAUUUAUUAUAAUUAUAUCCAAUAUAGAUAUUUAAUUUUAUCGAUCAAGAAUCUCAAGUAAAAAAAAAGUACGAGGAAUUCUUCGAGGUGUCAAAAUGGGUUAUAAUAUGCGAAUACAAUUUGUCUAACAUGUGAAAUAAAUGAGUGAGGGUUGAGGUUAAACGAGUUCGUGUCAUAAAUGGUGACCCAUUUAUGACACGAAUAUAAACGUAUCGCUUCACGGGUUGACAUAUGGGUUAGGCGAGUGAUCCGUUUACUUUAGGGUAAAGAGAAAAUUUUAAUGUCAAAUAUAAAUACACAACUAAAAUCCUAUUUAAAAUUUAUUGUUAUAUUAAUUUAUUGUUACUUUAGUUACGAAUCUGGGAAUAAAAUUUAUUUUUAAAUAUGAUUUGAGUUAAAAAUGUUAAAACUUAAAAAUAUUAUGAGCAGGUUAAGUGAGUCAUAUACAGGCUAAUACGACCUACGCAACUUGUUUAUAAUAUUAGGCGGGUUAUACGGGUCAUAUACGGGUUAAUACAAUUCACUUAACCUGCUUAUGAUAUUAGGUGAAUUACAUGUAUAGUAUUCAUAUCACCUGCUUAAUUUUCAUGUUGUGUUUGUAUUGAGAAAUUUAACACAAUUAUUAAACAAAUUAUGUUUAUAUUAACCCUAACAGUGUUGCGUGUUAAGCAAAUUCAUGUUGAAUUUCUAGUCUAUUUCUAAUGAAUUAAAAAAUAAGAAAAAUAAAAAUUAAUUAAACAAAAUAUCUUAAUUAACAAAAUCUACGAGCAUAUUGAUAAAAUUAUGUAUCUUAAUAUUAAUAAACAUAUUAAUAAAACUUAUCUAAUUAUUAUUUUUUUCACAUUAAGCUAUGAGCGAUCACAUAAGACACUCGAGUGAACUGCUUCAAUUUCUGGUUGAAUUUCUUCUGGCUAGGUGUCAUCUCUAUUGCUAAAUAUAUCACGAUAAGAUAUGUUGCCUUAUUAGCGAUAUGAUGAUAUUUUAGUCUAUCCUAAUAACAGUUCGUAAAAAGCUCUGUAAGUCCAACUGAUGGGAUCAGCAGUGUAUUAGGAGUUCUACCAGCUAUUAGUUCCUGAUUAGAAUCCUAUCCAAAUAUUUUCAAUCUAGCUGUUGGGCCCAAUUAGCUAUCCGCUGCAUCAAAAAGUUAAAACAAACGCCCUCUAAAUAACGACUUUCCCAUUGGACAAACAGCACAUUGGGAAUAGGCCACAUUUUUUCACCCGCAAGCCUUUGCCACGAGUGUGCAGAACAGCCUUUAGCUGCGUCCAACUACCCAUCUUCCUUGUCGUAGUGAAUGAACAUGACGGUAUAUAAUGCAACCACAAAUGAUCUGACUCAACCUUGCUACUUCUAUUUAUAAAAAAUCCAGUAUCAGGAAUCACCUUGUAGUUGUUAUGCACCAAAUAAAGUUCAAAUCCGCAUUGCAUUUCCAUGGCUGUAUCAUUAUCAGAGUCAUAAUCAUCGACUUCAAAAACAGCCCAAAAAGCUAAACCCCUCAAACUUUCCUUGUACCAAUCUCCAGGCAGAUUGAUACUCUUUGAAGGGUGACUCUGCUCGUGCUCAGACCACACUGGAAUCCCACCUCCAGGAAUAAUAACAGUAAAUUCAGUGAAUGAUACCUGCAUCAUACAAAACAAGAAAAUUUAUUUNNNNNNNNNNNNNNNNNNNNNNNNNNNNNNNNNNNNNNNNNNNNNNNNNNNNNNNNNNNNNNNNNNNNNNNNNNNNNNNNNNNNNNNNNNNNNNNNNNNNNNNNNNNNNNNNNNNNNNNNNNNNNNNNNNNNNNNNNNNNNNNNNNNNNNNNNNNNNNNNNNNNNNNNNNNNNNNNNNNNNNNNNNNNCUACAUUGACUAGUUCUGGGCAAUUUUGUGCUUCUACACAAUGUGUCUUGGGCGGAAGAGAUGGCACUGAGACAAGAUUGAUACAUUCUGCCAAACAAAUAACUUGUAGAUUCUUAAGUUUGGCAAAAGUUUGAGAGGGUAAUGUGUAAAAGUAGUUUCCACUCAGGUUUAAUUCCUUCAAAGACUCUAACAGGCCAAAUUCUUUAGGGAUUGAUACUUCUGUCAAAUUGCAGUAGCUGAGAUCAAGACUCGUUAAACAGGAUAAACUUCCAUAAAAAUAUCGUGACAAAUUCUCUCUAGUUUCUUCCAGCAGAUUCUGUUCUGGGUUUACAAAUGGAAAAUUCUCACACUCACGAAAGGAAAGUACUUUAAGCUUUGUAAAAGAGCAUAUAGAGAGUGGUGGCUUUUUCAUUGUCACUUUAUCUAGAUAAAGUUCUUCCAAGUUCUCCAGCCAUUCUAGCUCCUUCAGCAAUGUGUAAUGAUUGGGGCAUCCUGAAAAAUAAAUAGUCUUCAGAUGCAUUAAAUGGCCAAUGCUUGUUGGAAGAUCCCAAAGAUAUUUACAAUUCUUGGCACUCAAAAGAACAAGACCCGUAAGCUUUUCAAUAGAUGAAGGUAGUGCUUGUAUAGCAGUGUCAUCUAGAUAAAGCUCCGACAAGAAUUCCAUAUUAGCCUUAAUCUCAGGAAAUUUCUUAAGCAGUGAGCAUCCAGAGAGUAUGAGAAUCUCAAGAGACAUUGUACGAAGUUCACUUGGAAAGGAUUGAAGAAGUGAGCAGUCUUUCAGAUUUAAUAAUCUGAGGUUUUUGAGAGAACCCAGAGACGGAUGAGCCUGUAUUAAACUUUUGCACCCUUCGAGAAUAAGUACCUCAAGCUUUUGGACCCCAUAAAAAUCUGGUGUCAUAGUGAGUUUCUGACACUGACUGAGUUUGAUGAACCUCAAAUUGUCGAAACACUGUCAAAUAAAAAAGAAAAUCAAACUACUUGGCUGUGAAUCUCACAUCAUAUGGACCAAAAUGAAAAUACUUGACAACAAUACCUUCCUUUCUGUUGGAAGCUUUGUUAUGCUGCUGUAUGACAUAUUGAGUUCAACAAGGUUCACUGGAUAAAAUUUUGAUGGCAAAUUUUGGGGGCAUCCAUGCCAGUACAAGCACCGUAAGUCAUUAGACAAUUUUGAAAACUCUCCAUAAAGAAUUGCACGAGACUUUUUGGGUUGCCUUGUAGCAUAUUUUCUUGAAUUUUGGGUAAGGUAUUCAAAACCCCCAGAAUGGUCAACAUAGCAGAUCUUAAGCACUCUAAGGUGCUUCAUCCUCCAGAAGACUCCGGUAUCAAUAACUAAAUUGCCUACCUUAGACAAAUCCAGGAUCAUACCCUCAAUAUUGUCUGUCGCCUGCAACAUAUAUAGGGAAGAGAUAGUCUUAGAAAAUCAUUUAAGCAUGUAAAAUUGCAAGUUGCAAGUAAAAGAAUUAACUUUCAUGGGAAUGAUUUCUCACCGCAUUUUCUUCCAACACUCGGUACACAUCUCCGUGAUCCCACAAUCUGCUGCGUUCACCGGGCUUUNNNNNNNNNNNNNNNNNNNNNNNNNNNNNNNNNNNNNNNNNNNNNNNNNNNNNNNNNNNNNNNNNNNNNNNNNNNNNNNNNNNNNNNNNNNNNNNNNNNNNNNNNNNNNNNNNNNNNNNNNNNNNNNNNNNNNNNNNNNNNNNNNNNNNNNNNNNNNNNNNNNNNNNNNNNNNNNNNNNNNNNNNNNNNNNNNNNNNNNNNNNNAAGUUUCUGCAAUUCACUUUGCCAUUCAUUUUCAUUCUUGGGACCAAAAAAGGAACCAAGAACCUUCAGAGCUAAAGGAACACCUUCAGCAUACUUCACUAUAAGGCGCGAGAGCUCCAUGAAUUUAAUGAAUUUAUCUACAGGAUAUCUAUUCUGGACGGCAUAUUGAGUGAACAAAGAAAGUGAUUCAUUAUGGUUUAGACAUUUAGGCUUAUAAAUUUCAUCCACUCCACGUGCAAGUAGUAAGUUGCGAUCUGUAGUUGUUAUAAUAAUCCUACUACCAGGACCAAACCAGUCAUGAUCCGCUGCUAAGGCUUCCAACUCUUCGCCAUUAUACACACCAUCAAGAACAAUAAGAACACGCAUAUAUUGUAACCUUUCCCUUAUUGCAUCAAAAUUGCUACCCAGGUUUCUUAUUGUCUGGAUAUCUUCCUUUAAUAGUUUAGAAAGAAGCUGUUCUUGUAAAUGUUGAAGACCGAAUGUUUCUGCUACUUUUCCAACUCUUUCAAGAAAGCAAUAAUUUUUGAAUUGGCAAUAUAUACUGUCAUAAACAGCUUUAGCUAUGGUUGUUUUACCAAUUCCUCCCAUUCCCCAUAUUCCAACUAUGCGAACAUCAUCCAACCCCAGACGUAAUUUUGAUUUCAUUUCCUCUAUUCUGGAAUCCAUUCCAACUAGGCCUUUAGCUCUUUUGGGGGACGUACGACUCAGUUUUUUCAGGAUAUAGAUUACAAUUUCAUCAAUAAGAGUAGGAAUAUCCCUGCAGAAUUGGAAACGGAUGAAAUGAAAAGGUCAAACAAAAACAUAAAUAAAAAGACUGACAAAAUGCAAUUUAAGGUGCCCAGAAAUGAAGAAGAUUAUAAGCAGAGUGUUCACAGUCCAACUACAAAAUGAACAUCAACAAAGCUAUUAUAAAAUGGAAUGUAUUACCUAUCUCUCGCAUCCCAUCCAGAUUUGUUGCCUGCCUUUAGAAGAGCUAAUGUCCACCCCUCAACCUUCUCAGGAUAUUUAGAUAUUGACUUGGCAAAAUUUUUUCCAAACCUACCAGUCUGCUUUCGCACAUCUGAUGGAUCCACAUUGUAGAAUAUUGGCAAAACUGUAUCUCUCAUUGUAUAUUUCUGUUCUUCCGUCUCUGAAUCUGGGAUACGUUCAGUGAUCUUCAUGAGUUCAUCCAAGCAAAAAGAGGAAGAACCAUACUUCUUAGAAAGAACUACGACACAAAAUCUCGACUCCUGAAUCGCUUUAAGGAGUGCAGGAGUGAUUAUUUUCCCUUUGUCAAGACUCCUAUCAUCUUUGUAGGUUCUAAUCCCUUUUUCAGUCAAAGCGUUAUACAAAUUGCUAACAAACUCGUGCCUGACUUCACCUCUGAAACUCAAGAAAACGUCAUAUUCCCAAGAACUGGAAGCAACAGCAACUUUUGCAGCAUCCGGAGCAGUCACAUGAGCUUUAUGUGUAGUUUUCACGGUAGCAGAAUCAGAGGUUAUGGCCGCCGGAGUUGCAGAAUGUGCAGUCAUAGUUUCCACACUUACAGAAGAAAAAGAAGACGGUGCAGUCAUAGUCUCAGCUCCAGGAUCCACGGUAGAAUAGCCCGCAGCUCCACCGGUGCUGAGGUUAGAACCCAUAGGAGAGUACAAGAAAAGGAAUAACUGGACGAAUGGGAACUGAAAAUGUUCAAAAUUUUUAACAUAACCGCGUUCGAUGAAGCAAUUUAUAGAUAAUUAAGGGAAUCGAGAAAAUUUGACUUGGACAAUUCACAUGCAGAAUACUGAACAAGUCAACUAACAUUUUAACAAACAGCUGAGGAAUUUUUAUUAAUGCUAAUAUUGUUCGUACAAGUAACAACAGGAUGCUCUUUCGGAUUUUGUCGGGAAGUGCCAUGUAACUUCGUUUUCAACCUUCAGUUAAUCAUUAAAGCCAUGCCUCAAUCGGAUCCUCACACGACACUGCCGGAGCCACGGGGGCCUGUGGGCCACCGCCCCCCUGACUUCGAUAAAACUUUCUAGGGCGCCUUCAGUCACAUCAUCACGUUUGAAGUCCUGAGAUCAAAAAGCCAGAGGCUGCAGUUUUUUGGUUUUUUUUUUUUAAUUUUAUUUUUUAGUUUAGUUAUUUAUAUAGUUUUAGCUAGUUAUUUUUAAUUAGUUUUUAUAUAUAAGAAAAGUUUUAGUUAAUUUUUAUAUAAAUUCAAUUAACUUAAAUAUAUAUAUAAAGGCAUCUAAAGUUUCACAAUUUUAAUAAAUUAUGUUUUGUUUCUAUUGGAUGACUUAUAUCAUUAAUUUUAAUUUUACAUUCUUUUUUAAAUUUAGCUUUGAAUUUUGAAUUUGAUUCCAUUAUAUGAAUACAUAAAAUUCACAUAAAUAUUAAAAUAUAUAAUAGUAUUAUAAAUUUAUAUUUCAAUUGCUUAUUAUUUGCUAUUUAAUUAAAAUAUAACAACUUAAACAAACUUUAGAAUUAUAAAUUCAUUGAAUAAACACAUAUGAUAUUUUAUUUAUUCAAAAAGAUAGAUUUAAUAUUUCAGUCCAUGAUUCUAUUUUAAUAAUUUUUAGAAAAUAAUAUAAAAUUGAAUUGAUUAAAUUUUAAAAUUACAAUAAAAUAUAUUUAAAAUUUUAAAUACAAAUAUUUAUUUUCAUUGUAAUUUCUAAUGUGUAAAUUUGAGGAUAUUAUUUCUUUUCUAUUGAAAUCAUUAUGUAUGCUAAAAAAAUUUCUAUUAUUUUGUUGUUAUCUAUACUAUUUUCAUUAAAAAAAUUUUGACCACAUCGAAUAUAUUUGUUUAAGUAAUUAUAUUUUUAGUUACUUUUUUAAAUAAAUUUAUUUUUUAUUCACCUUAUGAAGAAAAAAAAUAUUUUCAUCCCCUAUAAAAAAAUUCUUGCUCCGUCACUGCUCACAUGCUCUUUUUCUCCUGGGUAGUGGUUAAACCAGCAAGGUCUUUUUUUUUUUUGAGAAUAGGUUAAACAAGCAAUGUUGUUGUUUGCGGCAGAAGGAAAUAAAAAAAAAAAUCUAAAUUAAUCAACCAAAGAUGAAAAAAAAAAAAUAAUAAUAUGCUGGGAUAAUACAGGAUCCAAAAAAUCAGGAUAUAUAGUAUGAACCCAUGUGACAGAUUGUAUGUUUUUUGUAUGAUCCAAAAAAUCAGAACCCCAAAUUAUGAGUUUUUGUAAUUUUAUCCAUUUUGCAAUUCAAUUCCAAUUAACAGUUUUCCUGCAAUUAUAUUGUGUAAAUCAUUAAAUAUACCCAAAACUUUGCUUCUUUUAAUAAUUACACCCUAAAUGCUUCUCGCCCUCCAAUUGUAACUUUUUGUCACAAUAGUACUCUAAUUGAUAUUGGUCAAAAUCAAUGAAUAAAAUAUAUUAAAUGUGGGUCUCGUAGCUUAUACUUGAGUUAACUUAAUCUAACGAGUAAGUUGGAUAAAUUAUAAAUACCCUAAACUUUGGUGUUUGUGACAAUUGCACCUCAAAAUGACUUUAAUUCUUAGAUACUCCAAUUUUAACUUUUUAUUACAAUUGCACCUCGAAUUCAAAUUAUGAAAAUAUACUGUCAUAAUUGCGCCUUGAAUUCAAAAUUAGAAAUCACAUUUAAUUACAAUUUCACUUUAAAUUCAAAUUUUAUCUUAUUUUAAUAGAGCAAACCCUAAAUUACCAGAAAAAAAAGUAAUCUAUAAGAGAUGAAUUCUGAAAAAGCAAAUUAUGACAAAUAUACUACCAUAAUUAAAUUCUAAAUUCAAAAUUUCAUCUCAUUUUGAUAUUUAAAUCCUAGAUUACUCAAGUAAAUAUGGUGUACUACAAAAACAAUCUUAAACCUCCAAACAUCCAAAUACAAAUUAUGACAAGUUUAUUAAAUAAAAAAUAGAAACUGCGAGUAUUUUGCUUUAUUCUGAACCAAUUGCGGACUAUUUUGCUUUAUUAUGAACUUAUCUCCUUUUAAUUAUUUCUUCUCUAGUAAUCUACGGUCGUCCUAUUAAAAUAAGAUAAAUUUUGAAUUUAGAGUGGAAUUGUAAUUAAAUGUGACUUCUAAUUUGAAUUCAAGGUGCAAUUAUGACAGCGUAUUUGCCAUAAUUUGAAUUUGAGGUGCAGUUAUGAUAAAAAGUUAAAAUUGGAGUAUCUAAAAAUUAAAGUCGUUUUGGGGUGCAAUUAUUAUAAACGCCAAAAUUUAAGGUAUUUAUAAUUUAGCCAACUUAUUCUUUGAUUUAAGUUAACUCAAGUAUGAGUCAUGGAAUCUAUAUUUAAUAUAUUUUAUUCAUUGAUUUGACUAAUUUCAAAUUAGGGAAUAAUUAUGAUAAAAAAUUACAAUUGAAGUGUCUAGGGGAUUAAAUUGAAUUUAGGGUGUAACUAUUAAAAGACGUAAAGUUUAGAGUAUAUUUAAUUGUUUACCCCAUUUAUAUCAUGAUCAGUCAGCACCAUAAUGAUUCCAUUCCUACAACCAAAAGCCAAAUAUUUAUCUCAAAUGAGAAUGUUUCAGAUCAUGCUCUUGUUAAUAAAUACAAUAUUUUCAUUUUUUUUAUGAGCAAAAAUUUCUUUUAUUAUUAAAAUCCAAAAAAAAAUUAAUAUAGCCAAGCAUUUAAACCCAGGUCAUCAGUCCUCCUCAAUAAACCCAUCCUAUCUCAAAGAUGCUAAGUGAAAAAACUCGAUAAAUUAUAUAUCAGCUUGAAGUCUUUUUCGAGAUAACUUAGGCAAUAAAUUAAGUGUCAUCAACUAUGGAUGUGACUGAAUCAAGUUAGAUUUGCAUUCAUUAAUCUUACAGAUAGGAAUGAUUAUUAAGAAUUAGCAGAGCGUUGCUCAAACUAAUAUAGACAAAGUAACAUUCAGUCAAAGAUUCAUUUAAUUUUAUAAUUAAUGCUCAAACCCAAGACUGUCAUUGUAAAGAAAGCAUUUUGCAUCGACUAUAUCAGUCUUUUUACUGAACUAAAAAAUUAGUUAUAUUCAAGAAAUUCAUAAUAUUCAUAAGAAUUCAAAUAGUUGAUAUAUGUAACAAAUUUUAAUUUUAAUAUUAAAUUGAUUAGAUAUAAUGAACCAUGAGACAGGUCAAUGAAAGUGAUAAAUAAAUUCAUAGUCAUAGAUUGUUAUAAUGAAUAAAAAUUUAACAUGUCCAAGAAAUUCAGAAUAUAAAUAUUCAUUUUUUUACUCUUAUAAAUAUUAAUAUCUAUAAAUAUAAAUAAAUAUUAGUUCUUUUCAUUUUUUUACUCUUAUAAAAUUUGUAUAGAUUUUUCUGUGAAUAUAAAUCUAUAAAUUCUGAAGCAUAGAAGCUAACUUUGCAUAAUAUUAGAGUAUUAUUAAUGUUGAAUCGACAUUAUUUCUAUUUUUAUAUUUUAACUGAUUUUUUUUACAUUAAAAUUUUGCCACAAAUUAUUUACUUUCUACUGCGUAUUAAAAGCUAUUUGAGUUGAGAAAAUUCAAAUGCUAUUUGCUUUUUAGAUAACAUGUCAAGUUAUACAUAAGAGAAUUUUUUUUAAAAUUGUAUUAAGCUUGCAAGAAGCAUUUUGGGUAUAGAAAAUAUAUUUACUAUACACGUUAGUUCAAGUUCAAUUUUGACAUGUUUUUAAUAUUUAUAAAUUAUCUAAAAUUCUACUUUUACAUCAUAAAUAGAAAUUUUAACGGCAACAAUAACACAUCUUUCACGAAUUAUAUUAUACUGAUCCAAAGUAAAAAAUAGUAUUAUCCAUACUUUAAAUUUCAAAUUUAAAUUUUUAUAAUUUUAGCUAUUAAAUUAUUUCAUUUUAGUCGCAUAAUUUUAUUAUAAGUGAUUAAUAAUAAAAUAUUUAUUAAUUUUAAUCAAAUUUUAUAUUAUUAUCCGUGCAAUGCAUGAGUGAAUGACUAGUUGCCAAUAGAUCUUGGGCAAAUAAAAAAAAUAUUUAAUUAGGAUUUUAUAUAUUUUAAAAUGAUAAAUCUUGGUAUGAUUAUUUUUUGAAAUUAUAAAAAUUUUGCAUUAGACGGUAUGAAAUAAAAAUUUUAUGUUGUUGAAAUGAGAAUCUAAUUUAAUUUAAAUCAUAAAAUCAGAGAAUGAAAGAGAACAAAAAUAAAUAACACGAUCAAUUUUUUUUCUUUUAUUAUAGGGUGGGCCCAUGCCUACACUAGGUAUAGUGUACAUCCGGGGCCUAAAAACAACUAAAAUGCAUUGAGGUAAGAUCAUUGCAUGUACACGUAUUUCUAUUUUGUUUUAAAUACCAUGUAGGUCCAAUAUAUUAAAAAAUGCCAAACGUUUGCCCGGUAGAAGCCAUUAGGCAUGGCCACGGGUUCAGUUUUAAUCGAAAUUAAAUCGGAAUCGAACUGUAUUGUAGACGAACCGAAACCGGCGGGGGGGAAUUUUAAACCGGAACCAGUAGUUCAAUUAAGGUUCAUGUGAAUCUUAAAAUAUGAACCGGAACCGGCGGUUUUGGUCCGGUUCGAACCGGAUGCACAAAAAAAUUGUAGCUUAAAAUUUUUAUUAAAAAAUUUAUAUUACUUGAUUUAAUUGUAGUUGAUUUGAUUUAUGGUGAAGAGAAGUACAAUGGUUCAUAAGUUAUACAAAGUGGUGAAAAAAAAUACACAUUUUUUUACUUAAUUUAUACAAAAAAUGGUACAUGAAUAGUUGAUUUAUAAAUAAAAAAAAAAUACUUUCGAUUGUAUAAAAAAAUAGUGUAACGAAUAUUUUUUGGUAUAAUAUGUGUUUUUUUAUUUAUUUUUUGGUAAAUAAAUUUUAUUAUUUUUUAAUCAUUUAUUUAUUUAUUUACUGUAAUUUACUAAAUUAUCCAAAAAUAUAGUUGUUAUUUUUCUAUUAUAAGGGACAAUUUGGAAAACUAAUAAAUGAGAAACAUGUAUAAAUAUGAUGAGUUGAUGAUUUUUUAUUUCACAACCAAUUAUAUCAUAACUCUUCUCUUAUUCUCAAUCAAAAUUCUCUCAAAUUUCCAUAUUUCAUUAUUUUUUCUAUUGCUUUAUUUUUCUUAAUAUUGGAAUUAUCUAUUGUUUAUUUUUUAUUUUCUUACAUCUAAUUCCAAAUUCUUUCUUUAAUCUCAAUUUUUUCCAUUCAUAAAUUUACUUCAUUUGAUUUUUUUAAUAAUUUUCUUAGUAUUUGAAAAUAAUAAUUUCCAACUCAUUUCAUUAAUUUUAUAUUCCAUUUAUAGUUUUCUAUAUUAGUGAAUUAGCAAAAUUUGUAAAUUUAAUAUAAUAAUAGUUCUAAGUUAGUUAAUAGAAGUUUUUCUUUUAAAAUUUUAUAAUAAUUUAUUUAGUUAAUAAAAUUUAAACAUUUUAAAAUUAUUAUUUAUUUAUGAAUUCGGAAUCAAAAUUUUAUUAUUUUUUUAAAUUUGCGUAAUGCCGGAACCAAAUCGGAACCGUAAUUCGAGAACCGUAAUUCGAACCGUUGUUUCGCCGGAACCGUGCCGGAACCGGAUGUUUAAAGGCCGAUUCCGGUUCAAAAUUUUAAACAUCUCGAACCGGCGGUUCAGUGAACCGAAACCGGCGUUUCACUGAACUGGCCAUGCCUAGAAGCCAUGCAUUAGUGCUCAUAUAAAAUAAGGAAUAAUGUUAAAUUAAUAAGGAAUAUAAAAUAUUUUAAAAUAAUGAUCUAAUUUUAUAUGAAUUAUUUUUUAUUAAAGUUAUUAUAGUGCUACAAACGCGAAACUUUGGGUCCAUAUCGUGCUUUAUUGUUCGCAUGAUAGAAAGGAUGAAUACGUUUGCUUAUUCAAUCGAGGGAUAUUAUAGUAUAUAUCAGAUUUUAAACUUUAUUUAAAAAAAAUAUCAGUUUAACUAAACUAUUACAUUAAUGUGAGUUUUAUCAUUCAUUUACCUAAUUAUCCUUUGAAAAAAAAAAAAAAAAACCUCUUUACAUUAUAGUCAUAUUUACACAUGCCUCCUUCAAUAUUUUGAAACUGACUUUAACAUUCCUAAUUUUCACUUUCACUGCACAAACGCAUCUUUCCAUCUAAAAUUACUCAAAUUUCCGUCAAACGGCAAAUAAAAUGACCAUACCAACCUUGAUAAUGUACAAAAUUUUCUUCACAAUUAAUUACUUCUAUUCCUCUAUCUCUCUCCUUGAAUCCUUUACAGAAAAGAAACGGUCAUCUCUCUCUCUUUAAUGCCGUGAUCUGCACUUUUUGAACUCUCUCAUUUUCACAAAUCUGAACUAUAAAUUAAGCAUGGAGCAAUCUAUGUGAGAUCAAGACCUUCAAAAAUGAAAUUACGAACAAAUAAAUGGAAAUAAAUGAAUUUAAGCAUAGGCUAAUUUCCUUUCUCUUUUUCAUGGUAGAGUAGAGAUGCCAUUAUUGCUAUUUCAUUAAAUUUUUUUUCCUUUUUCGAUCACCGGCUCAUGUCCGGCUAGCAGUGACAUCCUCACCGCCGCCUUUGCCUCACCGCCGCCUUUGCCUCACCGCCGUUCUCUCUUUCUCCAUUUCUUUUCCGACUGGCACAAUGAUAGAGUGUGAGCUACCUUCGUUUUUCCGAAUGGAGUGGCUCCACCUCAGUCUCCUUCAAUAUUUUAUUUUAAUUUUCUGGCGAGACCAAGGACCGACUGGUUAGACUCUUCCACCGCUCCCUCCUCCUCUCUUGUUGAACGAAAAGCAGGCCAUAGGUCAAAGAGUUGAGCUGACGGGAUGGAGAAGAGAUUAUUUUCGCUGAUAACGUGACUCUCCAGCCAAGCUUGAUUGUUUGCUCGCCGGAAACUAAGAGGCGGCCUAGGAGACGCUGGACCAAAGCUUGCAAUCUCAUAUCACGUUACCCAAGAGAAAAGGAAAGUCUUUUUUGUGGUUUUGGUUCAAUUAGCUAAUUCUAGAAGGUUUUUAGUUUGGGUCAGUAAUUUUUUAUGGUUUUUAUGGUUGACCUUAAUUUACAAGGUAGACUAACAGGAAAGUAGGCUAAUUUUGAACGGAGGGAGGUAGUUGUGCAACGGAUAGUUAAUUUAGGGAGGCAUGUUUUUUUUUUUUUUUUUUUUUUUUUUUUGACAUUGAAAUAUUGCUCAUAUAUUAUUAAGAGAAGAACGAGCAAUACAAGCGGGAAUAAUAUUCCAAGUUCGAAAACAAGCCCCACUAGGAACUGAUUUAGUCAAAACAUGAGCUAUAUCAUUAGCUUGUCUUCUAAUCCAAUCCAAAGUGACAUAGCAUUUAAACUAAGAGUAACUUACAUUCAGAGAUGACAACUCCAAACUCAGACAAGUCUUGGACAGAACUCCUUAUAGCAUAGUAAACUUGCAGGCAAUCAAUCUCAAUCUGAAACGACAAACUAGAGUAGUCUGACAGCAACCAGGACAAAACAUUUCUUAGCGCUUGAGCUUCUGCUAAUGCUGGAGAAGAGCAACCCUGCAAUGAUGACGCUGCUGCUGAUACAAAUCCGCCAUGACAGUUUGAAAUUACGGCACCAAAAGCUCCAUGGCCAACAGAGGGGAGGAGAGCUGCAUCAAAAUUUAUUUUAAAGGUGUCGGCAGGUGGCGGGAGCCAUUGAUUACCUGCAAAAACACCUAUACUUGAAUCAGACGACUUCAGCUGGGGUUUCUUCCAAGAGGCUAGCAUGCUUCUAGCUCGAGUAAUCACGUGAUAAGGUCCUUCUUCUACUUGAUUCCAUUUCAACUCGUUAUGGCUCAACCAAACACUCCAAAGUCCCAUAAUAAAACUCUCAAAGAACUCAAUCUCCCACACCUUGUAUAAAUAUGACUAUAAUUUAGGGAGAUAUUUUUUUUUUCUCAUUUAUCCUUUUAACCUAUCGCACAUUACUUUUUUUUUUCUUUUUUAUUUUUUUUUCUUCUUCUUCUUCUUUAUGGCAGGCGUGAAAUCUGCCUCCGGCGGCAGGAUUGGCAUAAGAGUUGUUGUUGAUUGCUUCACCGGAUUUGAUUCCAUUUCUGUUUCUGUGUUUUGUUUUUGUUCUUCUUCUUCUUAUUAUUAUCUCGAUUUGAUUCUAUUUUCUUUUUUGUUCUUCUUCUUCUUUUCUUAUUAUCUAGAUUUGAUUUCAAUGUAAAAUAUUUUGAUUUCAACUACCAUAUAAUUGUCACAAUUAUGAAUAUUUUUGGACCAAAUUUUAAGCACAUACUUUCAAAUCAGUUUGUAUAUUCAAUGAUGUCAUUCCUAAAUUACUUAUUAGCAGUCAUAAAACUUAUUUGAUAAAGAAAGAAAACUCUACCUGAUGAAUACAAUUUUAAAAAUAAAUUUAAAAAUUGAAGCGUUUAAUAGGUAUAAUUUUAUAAAUUGAAGUGUUUGAUGGGUUAAAAUAAAAGUUUAUGGUACUACAAGGUUAAAGUAACAAAAUUCAAGGUUGAAUUUAUGUAUUCCGCCUUUCAUCAUCAAAUUUCUUUUUUAGAUAUUAUGUUUGGAAAUUAAAAAAUGCAUUAGAGAAUUACUUUUCUACUAUUGAUUCUAGUAAAAUUUUAAAAAAGCAUUUUUUACAGAGGUAAAUGGAGUAAUUAAGUACCUUUCACAUUUGUUUAUAGAGGUAAAUGGAGCUUGGUGGGUAGAUGAUGGAUACUUAGUUGAGAAAUGGUUGUCAUGCAUUUGGAAAUCUCUUGUUUUGAAAGCUAAAGAUUUUUAACAGCUCAUCUAACCUUUCAUUCUCACUAGCUAAUUCCACUUGGCGGCUGGCUAACAAAUCAAAGUGGGUUUAAGUCAUCCUGUCUGCCAAUCACUAUUACUUUAUCACUAUUGCUUAUUCUUCUAGAAAUUGGUUUUUAUGUUUUAUUAUUUUUUUUAAAAAAAGAAUAUACAUAUAUAUAAACUUUUUACAAAUUAUUCCUGUUGCAUUUCAUUUUUCUGUUAUUCUAACGCUGAUUUUCAAAAAUAUCAAUGUAUUUUCAAAUUUUUCUUUUUUUCUAAACAUUUUUAAAUUAAUAAUUGACACCAAAUAGGAGUUGCAUUUUCUAUUUUAAAGUAUGGUUGGCAACAAUUAAAUUUCUUUGUAAUUAUUAUUUACUUUUCAAUUUAUAUCAAUCAACCCGUUGGGUUAAAUAUAAUCCUGUUUACACCGUGUCCGGCUAAUAAAAGGAAGCUCUAUUUACAAGAAUUUUAACACUCACCUUUUUACUUGAAAAACUCGAGUCAUUUUCACUCAAAUUAAACCUAUUACAUUUUUGUAAUUAUUUUGAUUCACAAUUCAUUUUAUAUAUAACAUUUUAUUUGUAAAUUUUAAAUUAAUAGUUUAAAUAUUUUUUAAGUUAUUUGAGAGGUUGUAUAUUUCUUAUUAACUAGCCGGUGAUUUAGCAAAUGAAACGACAAACAUUAACGACAGUCCGAUUAUCCCCAAUUUAGUCCUCCUGUCGUUACAAAGAAAACGACAUGUCUUUGUUGUAAAUGAAUUAGGACACAUGAGAGCAACACAAGAAGGCUAAUGUGACUGUUCUUUGAUCGUUUGACAAAAUGUAGAUUACCAUCUUCAACAAACUAGUACUCGGUUAUAAAUUAUAUAAUUUUCAUUAAUUCAUGCACUUAGACACUUGAUUAUGAAUUUAAUACUUAACCAUAAAAACAAUUACACAAAUGGUUCAGUUGUUCACAAUAACAGUAAACAGUAAAAUUCACAUAUCCAUCCAUUAUGAAACAAAAACAGACCAUUAAUAUAUAUGAAGCAGAAUGCAAUGGUGAAUCUAUCAUUUUAUAUCGGUAAACAUGAGAGUGUUUAUCUUAUCAAUACCAAUAUCAGAAAUGGGCUCAAUGGGUUGCUCGUCUACAGUGGUCGAAGGAACAGAAUUUACAGGUUCUCUGCUGAAUUCAUCUGCAAAAUAAAAGGGAUGAUCAUAUAACAGUUGCCGGUAUCACGGGUGUGAAAUACUAUGGUAAAAGUGCUUGCAUAUAUCACUACAGUUACUGAAUAAGUGGAAACUGUUAGAUUAUUGAUUGUAGUUUACUAAAUUUUAUUAAAAUCAACUUCCGAGGGGUGAGAUGGAAUGAGAUGAAUCCCUUCUCCUUUAACCAGAAGCCUCGAGUUCGAGCCCCGGAUAUGGAGUCUUUUUAAACACUUGGCAGGAAGCGCUUUGCCUGCCAUUAGUCGGGCAGUGGACUUCGGACCCCGGAUGGUUAAAACUUUAAAAAAAAAAAAAUUUAUUAAAAUCAAGCAACAUACACAACAAACAAGCCACAACUUACCAUAAAUUGUAAUUAUAGAAGUUGCAGGAGGAGUCGAGAAGAAGUUGAGGCCAAUGUAAAAGAUAAGUGCUAGUACUACGGUAACCAUCGCAUAAGUUGGGAUGGCCAGUGCCCAAUACCUGAAAAUUGCCAGAAACACAAUUAAGAGUAUUUUAGUCGAUGAAAUAGGUUGACACUCAGAGACUUUCAGCUAUUUAAUUGUAUUAUUUAGUCAAGCAAGCAAUGUGUUUUUGGUAGAGCAAAGAAAUUUUACAAUUACCUAAAGCGGAAAAAGAAAUAAGAUAGUGUGCAUAGUACAGACCUAUUGGGAUAAUAAAAGAUCCCAAUUGAGUGUAAACAAGGUUCAGGAACAUAAGCCCAUACCAAGAAAAUAACUGCACAGGCAGAACAAAAGAAAUCAAUAUGAAAUUAGCAGAGCUACAUGCUCUUGAGUAGAAUUCUUAAAGAGAAAAUACCACUAACCAUUUAUAGCUCAAAUUUUAAAAGCAUAAUAAUUUUCAUAUGAGCACAAAAUAUGUAAAAAUAUUUUUAACAUAUUACUGAAUUAAUUUUGUGUAACAGAUUUAUAAAUCUCAUGAAAUCCAGAUGGACAGGAGCAGGAUAAGGCAUUCUGCAAAACCAUUCCUUGGUAAUGGAAGAGAAAUUCAGAUAUUCAAGAAAGCUGUAAUAUUUAUAUGAUUUUAGACAGCAUAAAUUUCAACAUAAUGGAGUUUUAUAAGAAAUGAACCUAUAGCGACAAUAGUUGUAAUAGACCCAACAAAACCGUACACUUCCGAAGUUUUUAGUCCAUGCUCUCCAGACACUCCAAAGCCUGAAGGCUUGUCAUCAGGGUCUUGAAAGGAUACAGUUCCCCUCUUCCUCUUUGAAAAACUAAGGACUCUUCUAGGACUACUAACAGAAUAGUGAUCUUCCACGACUUGCUCUUCAAAUCAAUCUGGCAUUUCCAUGCACUCAGGGAGUCUAACAAAAGUUCACUUAAUUAGUAUCUAACAAUGUUGAACAACAUCAUGAAAAUAAAAAGGGUCUCAAUGAAGCUUCUACGGGGUAAUUCAGUAAUCCUCUAUACCAUCACGUUGUUAUAAAACUGGGGUAAAAAAUCAUGAAAUUCUGAUUCAAGUAAUAUUUAAGCAAAAAUCUGGAGAAUAUGACAAAAAUAAGAGGUAAAAAAAGAAAUUAGCUACCAAGCCAAACAAGAAUUGUUAUUAACAUGAACAAAAAUUUAAUAACAAUCUAUGGCACUGCCUGUGAUUCGAAAGAAAAACGCACAAUCAAAACAGAAAUAGCCAUUGAAAACAUCAGUGGCAUGCUAUUCUUAUCCUCAAUUUCAUACUUUUUACUUGAAACAAGAAGUCAACUUACAAUGAGAAGAUUAAGUUACAAUAUAUAUUCAAAAGGUGAAACAUACACAUACCUCAUACACAAUUUACAGGGUUAAUCUUACCAUUCUAAGACCAAUUGGAGCUUUAUUUGUGAUACGGAUCCAUCAUCACUCGUCGCUGGAUCACAAGGAGGCAUGGUGAACGACGAAGGAGAUCCAUUGGUGCUUCCUAUUGGACCGAUUACAAGGAGCUGUGCCAAGCGAUAUGGGGCAGCCAUAUCAUUAUUUGUUCAAGCCCAAAUAACACAAGAACUGCAUGAUGUUGCAUUCAACAAGUGUUGUGAGGAACUUGAAGGCAUUCCUAGGCUUCUAAUGUUGUUGGUGGCAUGUGAAGUUGAAGCACUCCAAUAAAUUUGUUUGACUUGCUACAGUGGAGGAAAGCACGCCUGCUACAGUGGAUAUCUUGUAUUCCAUGUAAGAAGACGAUUUUUGAGAUAUUGAAAACUUCAUUUGUUUAAGCUUUGCUUGUACUCCUUUGCAUAGAGUGAUAGUGAGAGAUUGCUUCCUCUAAUUGCAUCAAGAAUUAAGGUAAGCUUAUCAACUUGUUUGUGGCGUUUAUCUUGUUCUUUGCUCGAUUAUUGGUGUUACCGUUUCAGUAUAAACGUGGGGUGCCAUAGAGCGUUUAAUCUCGAUUAUUGGUGUUUCCGUUUCAUUAUAAACGUGGGGUGACAGAGAGGCGAACUUAUAUCUCAUUCUUUGAUCCGAUCCGUAUCAAUUUGAUAAACACUAGUCAAGGAAUUCAAAAGUUAUACUACCUUUACAUAAGGAUCCCACCAGCCAUCUGCAAUAUAAUGGGACCUAAUUCUUGAAACUUAGAUAAAUCCCUAGUAUCAUAUAUAUAUGUAUAUAUAUAUAUAUAUAUAUAUACCAGGUCACAUUUUGGCCAGGCCAAUUAUAGUAAUGGCAACCAUUAAGCAGCAAUAUUGAAGUGAUCAUAUAACAGAAUCAACUAACGGCAUUCUGUCCAAUGCAUAAAUUCACAAGAUGCUCAAGAACCAAAAAGACAAACUGAACAAUUAAUUCAUUUGUUUCAUAUUUUUACAUUUUCUCAGAAACAAUAGAUAAUAAAAUCCUUCGUUUAAUAUUGAAAAGACUUAAUUUUCUCUAACAAACAUUUCAUCAAACGAGUGGUGCACGUGCACCAAAAGAAAACACAUAAUACACUAAGACCAGUAACAUCAGAAGUGUGUUUAAUAAAUGCUUCUUUGUUUUUGUUACAAACAGGAGGAAUAAAAAAAAAAAAGGCUAACCUCGAGAUUUAUCUCUCCUGAUUCCGGUGUUAAGUUUUCUCUGAGACGAAGAUCGGAGCAAAGAAAAUUGACCAAAAGAAUGGAGAAGCGGAGAGAACUUCGUCGCGGCUGAAACGCUUUAAAAGGUCGUCGUUUCGAUUGGCCAACUUGGUGGGCUUAGAUUGUAAAUCACGGGCCAAACCUUGUAGGGCCUUUAUAACAAGUGGAUCACUGGUUCAGGCGUUUCUGGAUUUGCCUUAAAUUUUCAGAUAUAAUAUUAGGCGGAAAAGAAAACUGAAAAUCUAGAGUGUAAGAAUGAUUUAGGCGAAUUGCUUAUGGAUUACAGGAUGAUUUAUUGAUUUAUUUCAAUCAAGUGCUCUCAGCAUAAAAUUGUUUGAGAAAUUGCCAGUGAGAACGUUCAUCAUUCUCCUUAUGUGGUCGUCCCUCUAUAAUCUUCAUUCCAGGGUUCAAGCCAAUAAUUUCUCGACCCAGCUCUCGUCCCAGCACAUGGGGAAUAGGCCACACUUUUUCGCCCGCAAGUUCUCCCCAUGAGUGAGAAGAAAAGCCUUGAGAUAAGUUGAUUUGUCCAGCACUCUUGUCGUCUUGAAUGUACAUGAUGGGAAAUAACGCAACCACACAUGAUCUUGGAACCUCUAUUGAGGACAGUGCCAGUAUCGGAAAUCAACCUAUAGUUGCCGUGCAUUAAAUAAAAGUCCAGGCAGAAUUGCAUAUCGUUAUUGGAGUUUGCUAGAGAGUUAUGGUCAUGGACUUCAAGAACAGCCCAAAGAGCUAACCCCUCAAAGUGUUGUCAAUCCAAUUUCCAGGCACAUUUAUUCCCACUGAAGAACCCUUGAACCCCAACUUAGACCACACUGGAAUUUCACUUCCAGUAAUAGUAAAUUCAGCAAAAGAAUGAAAUGGUACCUGUAUCAUGAAAAUUCAAGAUUGUGCAUGAGAGCCAAUGCUAUGAAAAUCAAGAUAUAGCAAUGAGUGUCAGCUCACUAGAACUAGAGUAGUCUCAGAAGUUGUAAAUUUAGAAGUUCCAACUGAAGUUGGAGCCUAAUUAACCCAGAAACAUAAAGAUCUUGAGAGAGGGACAAACCUUCACAUCUGUGAAAGGACAGCACUUUGAGUUUUGCCAAAGAGCAUAUGGAGAGUGGUGGCUGUGGCAUUGUCGUUCCACCUGCAUCGAGUUCUUCCAAAUUUUCCAGCAACUACAACUUCUCCAGUAAUCGAUUAAGAUGAGAGCAGCCAGAAAAAUAAAUAGUUCUCAGAUGCUUUAAACCAGUUCCAAAGUUGCUAGGAAGGUGUUGUAAAUGUUUAGAAUUCCUGGCACUCAAAAGAGCAAGGCCCGUAAGCUUUUCAAUCGAUGAAGGUUUCCUGUAUAGCAGUGUCAUCUAGUUGAAGCUCUGACAAGUGUUCCAUAUUGCAUUUGAUCUUAGGAAAUAUCUCAAGCUUAGAGCAUCCAGAGAGUGCAAGGAUCUCAAGAGAAGAUGUAUGGAUUUCACUUGGAAAAUUUUGAAGAUUCGAGCAGUCUUUCAGAUUUAAUAAUUUGAGGCUUGUGAGGGAACCCACAGAUGAAUGAACCUCAACUAAAUUUGUGCAGCCUUGAAGAAUUAACACCUCCAGAUUUGGCAUCCCUGUGAAAUCCGGUGUCCUAAUGAGUUUCUGGGAAUGACUUAGUUUGAUGAACUUUCAAUUUAUCAAAUUUCUGUCAAAAUAAAAAUUCAAAUCAUUUAGCCCUCAAUUUCAAAUCACAUAGACAACAACUAAAAUAGUCAACUAAUAACUAUACAUUCCUCUUCGUCCAAAACUCUGUUAUGCUGCUAUAUGACAUAUUAAGUUCAACAAGGUUUUGUGGAUAAAAAUGAAGUGGCAAAGUUUCAAAGGGAUAUCCAUGCCAACAGAGGCAUCGUAAACCAUUUGGUAAAGUAAGAAAGUCCCUAGAAAGAGUCACAUUUGAGUCUAAAGGUACUCUUGCUCCAUUUGCGCCAUUGAAGAGACUGAUAUUAGCAAAGGGCUGUUUUUGGAUAAGGUAUUCAAAGCCUCCAGAUUGGUGAGCAUAGCAAACCUUAAGCGAUCUAAGUUUGGUCAUCCUCUUGAAGAAUUCGGUAUUUAUAUGCAAAUUCUCUAUUUUAGACAAAUCUAGGAUUAUGCCCACAAGUUCUUGUGCCACCUGUAACCAAAAGCAAGGACAGUCAACAUCAUAAAGUAAUGCUAUAUCUUUAGUGGGGCAGGGGGAGCAUUGCACAUUGUAUGAUCUACUGUAAUGCAAGUGAAAAUAAACAAAUUUUGAAUGUAGUUGUUUCUUACCAUAUUGUUUGCCAACAAAGUAUAGACAUCAUUAUGAUCCCACAAUCUGGUCCAUUUGCCUGGGUCACUUUCUGGUGGAUGAACAAUUUCCCUUCCCAUUUGUUGUACUAAAUCAUGCGUCCAAAGUUUAUUAUCUAAAAUGGAGAUGAGAGACUUAUCAAUGAGGACUCUUAGAUUAGCAUGUGGGAAGAACCUACAACCUUCAAAUACUUUGACAACAUAAUCUUUAUCCUCCCCCUUAAAGAAACAUGCAAUAUCAAGAAACAUAUCUUUUUGAAAAGGAUUAUCAAGUCCAUCAAAACUUCUUUUAAGCACGUCAUUAAUUCCACUUGGAGGAGAUAUUUUAAGUUGAUGCAAUUCGUCUUGACAUUCAAGUUUAUUCUUGCCAGCUAAGUGGCCACCAAGAACCUCGAGAGCUAAAGGAACGUUCUUAGCAUACUUGAUCAUGUCGCGUGAGAGCAUCAAGAGUUCGAUGAAUUCAUCUGUUGAAUGGCAAUUCUUGAGUGCCUAUUGAGUAAAUAGCGGAAAAGAUUCUUUAUCAUUUAAAGCUUUGGCAACAUAUAUUUGAUCCACUCCAUGUGCAACAAGCAACUGUUUAUUUCUGGUUGUUAUAAUAAUUCUACUACCAGGACCGAACCAUUUAUGCUCUCCAGCUAAGGCUUUCAACUGUUUUAGAUCAUCCACAUCAUCAAGAACAACAAGAACACGCAUGUAUUGGAACCUGUCCUUUAUUGCACCAAACCUAGAGUUCUUAUUGUUUGGAUUCCUUCCCUCAAUAGUUUAGAAACAAGUCAAACCAGGUUUUCCUGCAACUUCUCUAAUACUUUCAAGAAAGCAACAACUUUCAAAUUCAGAACACAUACGGUCAUAAACAGCUCUAGCAAUGGUUGUUUUACCGUAUCCUCCCAUACCCCAUAUUCCAAUCAUGCCAACAUCAUUUGAGCCCAUACAUAAUUUUGAUUUCAUUUCCCUUAUACGGGAAUCCAUUCCAACUAGGCCUUUAGUACUAUUGCUGCUUGUACGGCUCAGUAUUUUCAAAAUAUAGAUGACAAUUUCAUCAAUAAGAAUCGCUUCAUCCCUGCCAUAGUUGGAAGAGCAGCGAAUCAAAAGAGUCAUGAAAGGGGAAAAACAAGAAGACGACUAUAAACAGCCAUUAAGAAGCUAAAAAUAGGAUUAUGCAGUUCUAAAGAAGCUCAGAAAUUAAAUAAGACUAAUCAUAAUAUGUAUUACCUGUUUCUUGUAUCCCGCCCAGAUAUGUUGCCUGCCUCUUUAAGAGCUAAUGUCCAACCUUCCACCUUCUCCGGAAAUUUCUGUUUUGACUUGUCAAACCCUUCUCCAAACCCGCCAGUUAUCUUUUUCACUUCCGAUGGGUCGACAUGGUAAAAAAUUGACAAGACUAAAUCACUUGUUUUUGAAUAUAUCUCUUCAUCUGUCUUUGUAUCUUUCUUUGGAUCUGGGAUACGUUUGGUAAUCUUCACAAGUUUAUCCAAGCAAAAAAUGGAAUCAACAUAGUUCUUAGAAAGAACUACAACUCAAAACCUUGACUCCUCAAUUGCUUGAAGAAGUGCUGGAGUGAUUGUUUCUCCUUUGUCAAGUUUCACAUCAUCUUUGAAAGUUCUAAUUCCUUUCCCAGUCAAAGCCUUGUACAGAUAGCUUAUAAAGCUAUUUCGAACGUCCUCACCUCUAAAACUCAAGAAAACAUCAUAUGUCCAAACUCGGGAAGUGGAGCCCAUAUUUGCAGUCUCAGAGAACUCAGUUCCACUUGCAGCAGCUGGCUCAGCAGCUUUUGAAGAAGAUGCUACAACAGUAGUGGCAGCAGCAACAUUCGAAGCAACAGAAUAAGAGGCCAUGGCAGCUGUUGUUGUAGAAUUCGAAGCAGUAUUAGAAGAAGAGGCCGCCACAGUCGAAGUCCCCUCAGUCGCAGCUGCAGAUGAAGAUGCUGCUACGGACACAGUUGCAGCAGCUAGAGGAGGCGCUGUCACAGUAUGAGUCUCAGCGGCCAUUGUUGUAGCGGUCUCAGUCGCAGGAACCAUAGUAGCAGCAUCUGUGACAGGAACAGUAGAAGAUACCACCGCAAUUGCAGUCGCAGCAUUUGUAGAAGAAGAAGAGGCCGCCACAGUCAAAGCCCCUUCAUUCGCAGCUGCAGAUGAAGAUGCCGCCACAGUCACCGUUGUAGCAGCUAAAGGAGGCGCUGCCACAGUAUCAGUAUCAGCAGUCGCAGGGGCCACAGUAGGAGCAUCUAUGGCAGGAGAAGUAGAAGAGACCGGUGUAGUUGCAGUCGCAGUAUUUGCAGAAGAAGAAGUGGCCGCCGCUUUACCAGUGCGGAAGGAAGAACACAUAGCAGGGUACAAAAAAUGGAAUCAGUAGGAUUUCGGAACUGAAAGUGUUUGAAAAAUUAGUUGUCUAAACGUAACCAAUACCAUAUUCGUUCGAGCAAUUUAGCAAACAAGUUAUAUUCAUGGUAAUAGAGAAGAGUUGACUCCACGAUUCACAUGCAGAAGACUUGAAAGCUCAAUAAUAUACAAUACAAUAUAUGUGUAUAUAUAUAUAUAUAUAUAUAUAUAUGUAUAUGUAUAUACAACGCUGAGUGGCAGUUGUUUACAAUUGGCCAUGUCCAUAAGAUGAUUCGUUAGCAUUUCUGCAUUAUGAGCAUUUCUUAAUUAGAAGAGGAGAAUUUAAAAAAAACAUAAAAGUUCGCCGCGUUAGGUGAUGGCAAUUUUAUAAAUUGCCAAUAGAUAUUGGGCAAAAAUAAAAUAAGGAGAGUUCUCCCUUAAGUUGUACUACACGAAGCAAUAUAUUAUAUGUAUAUUUAAUAUAUGUAUGGCUGAAUAUUCGGUCAAUUUAAAUAAUAUAUUUAAUCGAAAUAAAUUAAAAUUUUUUUAUUUAAUCCAAAUUCACAUCGUUUUGUUUAAAUUAAUUUUGAUCAUCAAUCGAACUGAAGUUAAAAAAAAUAAAAAUCUAAUUAACCGACUGAUUUAACCAAAAUUUAUGAUUAAUUAAUUCUAACCGAAAUAAAAAUUAACCGAAUUUACUUGUAACGCCUGACUCUAAUCACCAGAGGAAUGAUCCGCUUUGGAUCAAACCGAAUCCGUCGAAUCUAUCUCAUACUAUAUUAGCAGGAUCCGUACGGUUUUGUCACACAGGUGAAAUGAGAAACUUAAGCAAGCACGCUUAAUCUGGAAUUCUUCUAACUCUCUAACCAUUUCAUCAAAGGCGCCUCUAAUGAUUAGUUUCUUUCUUGUCGAUAUAUGAUUCGAUUCAUUCAUGUGUCCCACAUUCCACUAUCUAUAGCUAACCUGCCAUCCUAGAAGCUCGGGAGGACUUUAAUUCUACCCGUCUCCUUAGAAUCGCUUUGCCGGGUCGGAAUGUCACAUUACUAAUCACCACUUGAUCAAAAUAAAAACUGAAAUAUGUUUAAUUUUUUAUUUUAUUAUCUACUCAAUUAAAACAACAUAGUUUUGAGACUUGGUUAAUUUGAUUAAUUCAGUUGGUUAACUUUUAACUGAACCUUUAAUCGAUCACUAAAAAUUUAAUUUUUUUAACUGAAUAUUUAUUCAAUCAAAUUGGCUGAAUUAAUCGAAUUGGUCGAACUGAAUGCUCACUCCCUAAUCACAUGUAAAAUAGAAAUAAGAUUUGCUUAUAUCUAGUAUAUAGAUCCAUCCGAACAUUUAACUGAAGAGAUUAUUUUUAAAAUUAUUUUUAUUUUAUCUUUUCUUUUUCUCAAUGAAUGAUAAAAAUACCAUCGCUUCAAUCUAAAAUUAAUUUUGGUUGGUUUAGUAUAUGAGUCAGUUAUCGGGAGUAGAGAAAUAUUUUAUUUUUCCUAAAUUUGUGAACAAGCCUUGCCUAAACUGGUAUGAGUCCACCCAUACACCAAACCAAUCAAUGAAGGGAUUUUUUUAAAAAUGAUUUAUAGUUAUUCUCUUCUUUACCCAGUAAAUAGUUACAUAUACUUUCAUUUCAAUUAAAAAAUUAAGUUUAAUUGAUUUAAUAUAUGGGUGAGUAUGUACACCGGUAUAUAGGUAAAUCUUUCCCUUUCUCUUUGACAUUUGUUAUGAAAAAUACAAUUGCAUGUAAAUCUACAAUUCAAUAAUAAUAAAUUAUAAAUAAUACUAUUAAAUUAUUAAAAUUUAAGUAUUGCUCCCUCAGUCGCAUAAUUAAAUUAUUUACUUUUUCACCCGCAAGCCUUGGCCACGAAUGAAAAGAUCAUCCUUCAGCUGCCUCGAACUGUCCAGCUUUCUUCUCAGUUUGGAUGUACAGGCUUAGUAUUUCUAUUGAUGACAAAUUCAGUAUCAGAAUACAUCUUAUAGUUGUGCAUCAAAUAAAUUUCAAGGCCGUACUGCAUUUUUAUGGUUGAAUUGUUAUCGAAUAUUUCCUUGAUUAAUAAAGAAAGAAAUCUCUAGCCAAUCAGAUAUGAUUUUAUUGAUCUUUUAUUGAUCUUUUCACUAAUGUGAGGAGUGAGAAGUUUUAAAUUCGAGUUUUCUACGACUAUAAGAGUUUUCAAAAAAGAAAAGAAGAAACUCUCAACUCAACUAAUCUUUUGGAUACAUAAAGCAAGAUUAAAUAACAAUUAAUCGGUUCUAUAAUUAUUUACUAAAUUUCUUACUCUAUCCAUAUUUCAAAAUAUUAUUAUCCUAAUUUUAAUCUUAAUAUGUAUAAAAAUCAAAUCAGGACACAAAUUAUGGAACAUAAGGAGUAAUCAAUUUAUCACAAUAUCAUAGUAUUAUACCAUGGCUUUUGUAGUCUCUCUCUUAUAGAUACUUCUCUUGAAUUUUAAAAUUGUAUUUACAAAGUUUAAAUCUUGUUGAUUUUGUGCGGUUCUCUCUCCUUCUCUCAAAACCUAAAAUCUAAAAAUUCUCUUUUCUUCUUUUAUAGGCAGCCACCGGUGAGCUCUCACUGGUGGUCACCUCCUUGCUUUUUUUUUGGAAAUAAUCCUUAGAUUUGUUUCCAAAUCUGAUUUAUUAUCGCCUAAAUAUAGAGAUUUAUUGUUGCCAAUAUUUUGAAAUUUUAUUCUCAAAUUUAAUUCUGAAUUAUUAUUAUCACAUAAAGUCUUUUAUUAUUUGGAUAGUUACGUAAAAAAAAAAAAAGGACAUUAAGAACUUUAUCGUGACAUUAUGGCUCCAAUAGUUGGUUUUAAUGCAUUGGACGCCAGAUUUUAUAUGGAUGGAUUGGAAACCGGACUAGACGCAUUUUUUCAAAGAUUUGGUUUGAAUGCAUCGGAAGCCAGAUCUUAUUCGAAUGUAUUGGAAACCGUCGGACCAGACGCAUUUUGUCAAAAAUUUGGCCUGCCGUGGGGCUUGAACUAUACAAAUACAUAUGUAUCAACUUCAACUUGCAACUUAAAAUACCCAAUUUUCUUGAAGUGAGGGCAGGGGGCCUAUUUUCCGUCUUAAUAAAAAAUUUUAAUGGAAUAUUUUAAUUUUAAUCCCUCUUGGCUUGUAGCAACAAUGUUUUGGUUUGUAACAAUAAUGAUAUGUUUUGUACUAAGUUGGACUGUGUUCGACUCACGCCAAUGCACUUCAUCAACUUUUAUUAUUUUAGUUUUCUUUUUCCAUUUAUAUUUUUAUAGUUGACUUACGAUAUGCCAUUAACUUUAAUAUUUUUUCAUUUUUCUCUUUAUUUAUAUUUUUUUUGUUUUAAUAGUUUUUCUUUUCUUUUCUUUUUUAGUUGAUUAGACAACCACUCACACACAAUUAAUCUUUAUAAUUUAACAUUAUUUAUUAUUUUAUAAGGGCACUAAUACGAUGGAGCUUUUUAUAAACCAUUUAAUAUUUUUUUUUUAUAAAUUGUUAAAUACUCUAACAUUCAGCUUUUAAGAGUAACGUUUAAUAUUUAGCUUUUAAUUAAAUUUUUUAUUAUUUAGUUUUUAUAUAAAAGGACAUUAGAUAUUUAAUUAGCUAAAUUCGAGGAAACACAAUUUGAAUAUGAUUGUGAAAAAAAAAAAUUGAUAUCUCUAAACCACUAAACAUAUGUCACCCAAUAAUAUAAUUAAUCGAAAUAAAAUUUUAAUUUAAUCAAAAUGCUCAGCUCAAAAUUUAAUAUAUAAAGUGUCGUUUAUGUGAUAUCAUAUGGUCAGUAAAACACCAUAACAUGAUAACAUCCGUUAACGUGAAAGCAGCGUCCCUAAUGUUAAUGUUCAUCACGUGAAAAAUGGAAUUCUGCGACAUUACUCCGUUGUUUUUAUCAAUUUAUCAUUAAGUUGUUUUGUAGAGCCAUAUGUUUUUGUUACUUUUAUCCCUUUUUAUUAAAAUAUAUAUUUUAUAAUUACGUAAUAUAAUAAAUUCAGAUUCAAAUCUCUUUUUCAAUAAUAAAAAAAAUUAAAAUAUUUUUAAAUUUAAUAAGAAUUCUAAAUAUUAAUUAAAAAAUAAAAUUUUUUCUCAAUUACUAUUACUUUUAAAGACUAAUAGUUUAUUAACGAACGUAACUGAUUACAAUCUCUUCUCAUUUUUUUUAAUUAUAAAUAAUUAAACUUAUUUUAUACUAUCUUUAUUUUAUAAUAUUUAUUAUAUUGUGAUUUCAACGAGUAAUAAUUUUUUUUUAUAUUUACUAUUUAUAUAUAAUUAUUAAUUAUUAAUAAUUUUUUUAAAAAGUAAUAUUAAAUUAAAAAUAAUAUAAUUAAUUUACUCGCAUGCUUGUGUUGACCUUUCAAUAAAACCUCUCGCCGUUAGAGCGCGUAAAUAUACCUAAAAACAUAGGGCAGAGCCAAACAUGAAGGGACUUUGACACUGGCAGUCUCUCUUUCUGAUACUGCUGCGAAUUCUGCAACAAAAGCUGCGAUGGCCUCUUAUUCUGUAGCAUCUUCUUCAAAAGCUGCUGAGGCUGGAACUUCUGUUUCUGCGACUGCAGAUGUGGCUGCCGCUUCCCGAGUUUGGAGAUAUGAUGUUUUCUUGAGUUUUAGAGGUGAGGAUGUUCGGAAUAACUUUGUAAGCCAUCUGUACAAGGCUUUGACAGAAAAAGGAAUUAAAACCUGCAAAGAUGAUGUGAAACUUGACAAAGGAGAAACAAUCACUCCAUCACUCCUUCAAGCGAUUGAGGAUUCAAGGUUUUGUGUAGUAGUUUUUUCUAAGAACUAUGCUGAUUCCACUUUUUGCUUGGAUGAACUUGGGAAGAUUGUUGAACGUAUCCCAGAUCCUAAGAAAGAUACAAAGACUGAUGUACUGAAAAAUUCAAAAACAAAAGCCAGAGAUGCAGUUUUGCCAAUUUUUUACAACGUUGACCCAUCGGAGGUGAGCAAGCAAACCGGUGUAUUUGGAGAAGGAUUUGCUAAAUCAAAACUGAAAUUUCCUGAGAUGGUUGAGCGUUGGACAUUAGCUCUUACAAAGGCUGGCAACAUGUCUGGAUGGGAUGCACGAAACAGGUAAUCCAUUUUAUGAUUUUUAUUUUCGUGAUUUUGAUUAUCUAACAAACAAAUUAUGCUACAAAUUAUAUGGUUUCUGCUUAUGUCUUCUUUAAUUUCUGAGCUUGUUUAGAACUGCAUAAUCCUCUUUUGAGCUUCUUUAAUUGCUGCUUGUAGUCUUCUUCUGUUGUUUCUCUUGUAUCGACUCUUUUGAUUUUUCGCCCUUUCAACUAUGGCAGAGAGGAAGCGAUUCUUAUUGAUGAAAUAGCCAUCUGUAUUUUGGGAAAACUGAGUCAUACAAGCAUCAAUAGUACUAAAGGCCUAGUUGGAAUGGAUUUCCGUGUAAGGGAAAUGGAAUCGAAAUUACAUAUGGGGUUGGACAAUGUUCUCAUGGUUGGAAUAUGGGGCAUGGGAGGAAUCGGUAAAACAUCCAUAGCUAAAGCUGUUUAUGACCGUAUCUAUGGUGAAUUUGAAUGUUGUUGCUUUCUUCAAGGUGUUACAGAAGUUGCAAGUAAACCUGGAUUAGGUCUUUCACAUUUACAGGAGCAACUUCUUUCUAAACUACUGAAGGAAGGAAUUCAAAAAAUAAGAACUCUAGGUGACAAUUUUGAUGUAAUAAAGAACAGGUUCCAAUACAUGCGUGUUCUUAUUGUUCUUGAUGAUGUGGAUGAUAUAAAACAGUUGAGAGCCUUAGCUCGAGAGCAUGAAUGGUUCGGUCCUGGUAGUAGAAUUAUCAUAACAACUAGAGAUAAACAUCUGCUUGAGGCGCAUGGAGUGGAUCAAAGAUACGAGGCCCCACUUUUAAAUGAUAAUGAAUCUCUCACGCUAUUUACUCAACAUGCCUUCAAAAAUCACUGCUAUUCAGAUGUUGAACUCAACAACAUUUCCAAGCUCUCACACAAUGUGGUCAAGUAUGCUCAGAAUGUUCCUUUAGCUCUGGAGGUUCUUGGUUGCCACUUAGCUGGCAAGAAUGAACUUGAAUGGCUAGACGAAUUGCACCAACUUGAAAUGUGUCCUCCAAAAGGAAUUAAUGAUGUGCUUAAAAUAAGUUUUGAUAGACUUGAUAAUCGUUUCCAAAGGGAUAUGUUUCUUGAUAUUGCAUGUUUCUUUAAGGGGGAGGACAAAGAUUAUGUUGUCAAAGUAUUUGAAGGCUGUGGGUUCUUCCCACAUGCUAAUCUAAGAGUUCUCAUUGAUAAAUCUCUCAUCUCCAUUUUAGAUAAUAAACUUUGGAUGCAUGAUUUAGUACAACAAAUGGGAUGGGAAAUUGUUCGUCAACCUGAAACUGAUCCAGGCAAAUGGACCAGAUUGUGGGAUCAUAAUGAUGUCUGCACUUCGUUUGCAAACAAUACAGUAAGAAAUAAAUUCAUUGAAUUUUUUUUUUCUUUUACUUGCUUUACAGUGGAUCAUACAAUGUCCAAUUCUCCCCCCACCCCACUAAAGAUGUAGCAUAUCUAUAUGUCUUGUCUGUGCUCUUGGUUACAGGUGGCGGAAGUUGUGGGCAUAAUCCUAGAUUUGUCUAAAAUAGAGAACUUGCACAUUAACACUGAAGUCUUCGAGAGCAUGACCAAACUUAGAUUGCUUAAGGUUUGCUAUGCUUACAAAUCUGGAGGCUUUGAAUACCUUAUCCAAAAACAGCACUUUGCUAACAUCAGUCUCUCCAAAGGCACAAAUGAAGUAAGAAUACCUUUAGACUCAAAUGUGACUCUUUCUAGGGACUUUC